UGUCACGUAAUUCAAUCAGGCAGAAUCAAUGCUCUUGGCCAGGGUAGGUUAGAGGUUCAAAUCCUCUCGUGACAGC
RNAcentral lists this transfer RNA (76 nucleotides) under Streptomyces phage Samisti12. RNAcentral describes it as "tRNA-Pro". It matches the Rfam family "tRNA". From Rfam's summary of the family: Transfer RNA (tRNA) molecules are approximately 80 nucleotides in length. Their secondary structure includes four short double-helical elements and three loops (D, anti-codon, and T loops). The record is from RNAcentral. Lineage: Duplodnaviria; Heunggongvirae; Uroviricota; Caudoviricetes; Stanwilliamsviridae.